CUUCGGGGGUGACGCUGGUGGAAUGAGCGGCGGACGGGUGAGUAACACGUGGGCAACCUGCCUGUAAGACCGGAAUAACCCCGGGAAACCGGGGCUAAUGCCGGGUAACACCUUCUCUCGCAUGAGGGGAGGUUGAAAGAUGGCUUCUCGCUAUCGCUUACAGAUGGGCCCGCGGCGCAUUAGCUAGUUGGUGAGGUAACAGCUCACCAAGGCGACGAUGCGUAGCCGACCUGAGAGGGUGAUCGGCCACACUGGGACUGAGACACGGCCCAGACUCCUACGGGAGGCAGCAGUAGGGAAUCUUCCGCAAUGGACGAAAGUCUGACGGAGCAACGCCGCGUGAACGAUGAAGGUCUUCGGAUCGUAAAGUUCUGUUGUUAGGGAAGAACAAGUGCCGUGCGAAUAGAGCGGCACCUUGACGGUACCUAACGAGGAAGCCCCGGCUAACUACGUGCCAGCAGCCGCGGUAAUACGUAGGGGGCAAGCGUUGUCCGGAAUUAUUGGGCGUAAAGCGCGCGCAGGCGGUUCCUUAAGUCUGAUGUGAAAGCCCACGGCUCAACCGUGGAGGGUCAUUGGAAACUGGGGAACUUGAGGACAGAAGAGGAGAGUGGAAUUCCACGUGUAGCGGUGAAAUGCGCAGAUAUCG
Molecule: ribosomal RNA, 646 nt
Filed under: Halobacillus sp. SCULCB HVA-5
Lineage: Bacteria; Bacillati; Bacillota; Bacilli; Caryophanales; Bacillaceae
Description: bacterial SSU rRNA
Rfam family: Bacterial small subunit ribosomal RNA
Source: RNAcentral